Molecule: ribosomal RNA, 830 nt
Filed under: Bacillus sp. BAB-5610
Lineage: Bacteria; Bacillati; Bacillota; Bacilli; Caryophanales; Bacillaceae
Description: bacterial SSU rRNA
Rfam family: Bacterial small subunit ribosomal RNA
Source: RNAcentral
GGCUCAGGAUGAACGCUGGCGGCGUGCCUAAUACAUGCAAGUCGAGCGAAUGGAUUAAGAGCUUGCUCUUAUGAAGUUAGCGGCGGACGGGUGAGUAACACGUGGGUAACCUGCCSAUAAGACUGGGAUAACUCCGGGAAACCGGGGCUAAUACCGGAUAACAUUUUGAACYGCAUGGUUCGAAAUUGAAAGGCGGCUUCGGCUGUCACUUAUGGAUGGACCCGCGUCGCAUUAGCUAGUUGGUGAGGUAACGGCUCACCAAGGCAACGAUGCGUAGCCGACCUGAGAGGGUGAUCGGCCACACUGGGACUGAGACACGGCCCAGACUCCUACGGGAGGCAGCAGUAGGGAAUCUUCCGCAAUGGACGAAAGUCUGACGGAGCAACGCCGCGUGAGUGAUGAAGGCUUUCGGGUCGUAAAACUCUGUUGUUAGGGAAGAACAAGUGCUAGUUGAAUAAGCUGGCACCUUGACGGUACCUAACCAGAAAGCCACGGCUAACUACGUGCCAGCAGCCGCGGUAAUACGUAGGUGGCAAGCGUUAUCCGGAAUUAUUGGGCGUAAAGCGCGCGCAGGUGGUUUCUUAAGUCUGAUGUGAAAGCCCACGGCUCAACCGUGGAGGGUCAUUGGAAACUGGGAGACUUGAGUGCAGAAGAGGAAAGUGGAAUUCCAUGUGUAGCGGUGAAAUGCGUAGAGAUAUGGAGGAACACCAGUGGCGAAGGCGACUUUCUGGUCUGUAACUGACACUGAGGCGCGAAAGCGURGRGRGCAAACAGGAUUAGAUACCCUGGUAGUCCACGCCGUAUCCUAUGCUAAGUGUUAGAGGGUUUCC